Molecule: non-coding RNA, 31 nt
Filed under: Mus musculus (house mouse)
Lineage: Eukaryota; Metazoa; Chordata; Mammalia; Rodentia; Muridae
Source: RNAcentral
UAACCUAUCAGAUCACAGUGACUCUCAACUC